This is a long non-coding RNA of Zingiber officinale, 976 nucleotides long. RefSeq lists it as uncharacterized. NCBI's taxonomy places the organism in Eukaryota, Viridiplantae, Streptophyta, Magnoliopsida, Zingiberales, Zingiberaceae. The transcript has 3 exons. The record is from RefSeq and is a predicted model, not a curated record.
UACCAGCUGCCUUGUGGAUACUUUGACGGCUUCUUCCAUUUCAGGGAAUAUUAUUUUAGCAGCUUGGGGUAUUGGAAUUGCAGCCAAUGGAUUGAUCAGUUCCUAUGUAGAUGAAAACAAUUCUUAAGUAACUGGUUCAGGAGAUAUUGAGUAGAAGGAAGUAACUGGUUCUCAGGAGCAGGUGACUUGGUGAUUUAUUUGUUGUGUCUAUGAGUUCUAACUGCUCUGAUCAAGUCUUCUUGGAUGACCAACCCUUUUAAGGACUUGCAGCAUUUUUUGCCCACCGAAUUAGUGCGAUCAACUAUGAGCAAUCAAAGAAUUUUAUUCAUCAAUUUGCUCUGCAAUUGCGGAAAAGAGAAGCACAAAGCUUAUGUAUCACUCACCCAGCAAGCACAAAGCUUAUGUAUCACUCAGCCAGCAAGCAGAGACUACUACAUUGCCGAAUGUUAAGCAUUAAUGCCUUUCCUUUUUCCAGACUCUCAAGCUACUCUUGCAUGUCGUCUCACUCAUUGUUCUAGCAGGAGGACAAAUAAAGAGUUCUGCUUCAGUGGGCCAAGGCCAUGUUGUUUCUCCAGGGAGAAGCUAAAAAGUAUGGCUGGCUGUUUGUAAUAGGAAGGCAUGCAUGCCCAUAAAAAAUAGUAGCUGGAUUCGACAGUUCGGAGCAAUGGCGCAUAAACUUCAUGUCAGGCUUCCAGGCACUAAAGCCUCGACCUUUGACCAGAAGCACUUCCAAUGGCUUCUUCCUCUGCAGUGUAGCUGAAUGGCAUCCAAAGCUAAGCCACAUGAAAACGGUCAUUCAUGGUAAGUUCAUGGUCUCUAGAGCAUUGGACUGGAAUUGGAUGCCUUAGGGCUCUCUUCUUCUGUGCACAGGUUGACGCAUAGCCAACAAUCAUACUUGGCAAAGCAAAAGCUUGUCCAACGCAGAAUCUUGGAAUCCCAACUGUUCAGGAUAAAUCCAUCACAGCCAAUCACAUGA